UGCAAAAAAAAUAAAUAAAUAAAUAAAUAAAAAAAUCCUGAGAGAAGACAAAGCAAAGAGGCCAACCUACGUGACCCCCGGGGGAUCUUUACAGAUGUGGUCAAGCUGAUAGUGCAGAUGAACCUGAGAAAACAAGUCCUUGGCUUUAGGCACUGCUGGUGCUGUGCCCCCUGGGUCAGAUCACCUUGCCAAAGGAGAUGCCAAUGCCUGUUGUUAAGGGGUUUGUGUAUGUGUCGAGGCCAGGUGAAGGACAGCAGUUUCCACUGAUGCUACCUUACAGGAUCCUGGAGGAAGCAACACUGAGUGAUUCCACAGAGGGAAAGCCAGCACCUACAAUGGCUGUGAAGGGAGUGAGUAAAUCCUCAGACCAUGGAAUUUGGACUUUCUGAUACACCUGGAAUCCAGAUUGAUGAGAAGAUGUGAAGAUGAGAAGAUGAGAAGCAGGCACUCCAAUCAUGGGCAAGGUGAGGGGCUUGUUCUUACAGACCUGGAAGUGUUUACUCCUGAUCUGCUGGACACUGAGAAGGCUGCAAUCCACCAAACAGUAGCACUCUCCAUUGAGCAUUCUCAACUGAAAAUGUUUUGGUUUUCUCUGCUUCCUGAGACUCAUGCCCUCCAGCACUGCUUGUUGACCUCCCCUUCAAACUCAGGACAUUGAUGGACCAUCACAAUGGACAAGCCACCCUGGACCUACAUGGUUGUGAAAGCUCUAGUCAUGGCCCCGUUGGAGUUUACAGCAAUGCAUUCUUUCACUGAGAGAUUAUAUUCCCUUGAGACCAAACCUUCUGCAGGUACUUACCAGUUCUUAUGAAGUUCUUAUCUGGGGAAGAUUCUCAUGCCUAGGAUGAAAUACAUCAAAGAGCAAGAAAACUUCGACUCCUCCUAGAUAAUCAUCCUGUGAUCAAGACACUGACUGGUGGCACAGGAGUACAGAUUUCAAGUUUCUGUUCUGCAAGAUGUCAGAAACCCGUAUUCCAGGCCAGCUUUCUGGCCACCAAAUAUCAAGCUAUUCUUGUAUUCUGUCUCUCCUGUUGGACCUGUUUCACUUUGUAUAAAUAAAUAACCAUUAAUUGAACAAGGGCUUGAACUCAGGCUGCCCAUUGAACUAUUGCAUUGGUCUUUCCCCAGGUCAGUGAACAGGUAACUGCUCGUGUGAAGUUAGCAAGUUGCAGAGCAACAGAGGCAGCUGAGGGGGUCCCAAAAAUGCAAAGGAAAAAAAGAAAACCACUCAGUAAAGUAAUUUAGUAGAGUAUGAAUCACCUGGUUUUCAGUCCUUGACCUGAAUGAGGAAGAAGGACUCCUAGCUGUUCUAGGAGAGGCUUUGUCCGGUCAUCUGAAAGGUCAUAAUUCCAUCAAAUUUUGAAAAGAGAUAAUAUUUUAAAGUCAUACUUUCUUCCUUUUUGAAAUUUAAAAAAAAAAAAAAAGAAAAAAGAACACCUUUAGCUAAAUGAUCCUCUAACAAACCCCUUGCAUUAGAAUGCAGGUGCUACAUAUCUUUAGCAUCACAAUAUCUUGAGUCUUAAAGUUUCUGGAACCUCUGCCCCAGACAUGAAAAAGGACCUCACUGUUCCAGUUCCAAUUGAUUUCUUCACCUAACACUCUUCCCAACUUUGCUGGUAUUUUUCAAAUGAAGGUUUAAGUCUAUUACUUGCACAUUAUUUUUACGUGAUGAAUAUAAAUUUUAGUCAUAUAUUGUCAAACAGAAAGAUAACUGAAAGCAAUAUGGAAAAUUCAGUGAUUAGUGUAACAUUGUCAUAAAAGAUCAUAUAAAAGGUAAGACAAGGACUGGAGAGGUUGAGUCCUAAUCUUCUUGCCUCACUGCUAGAUAAUAUACUGCAAUAACUUUAAUAUUUACAUUUGAUGGUCAAAAAUAUUUCUUUUCAAGCAUCUCUCUGAUAAGGAACUUGGAUUAAGUUCUUUGAUUAUGAACUAAAAUCCUUGUUUUAGUCAGAUUCACCUCUCCAUAAGCAUAUCAACAAAUUGGUAUUUCUGUAGACGUAAGAGUCUGCUUUUUCUUUAAUGUCAUAUAAUCAUUCUCAUAAGCACUUGCAUAAAAUCAGUUAAGAGUUAACCAACUAAAAUAUACAAAUAUGCGGGAGGUUUUAUGAAGAACUACAACUUCAAAAGGAGUUGGUUUAGGGGUCAUGACCCCAUUUUUUGCAAUAACUUAUGCAUCACGAACUUACGUAAUUGGCAGCAGAUAACAUAUCACACUCUAAGUUUUAUGUCCUUGGUUUGACAACAGUGUCAAUUGAAGUAUUUGCUAACUGCAGAACAAAUGGAGCCUCAUAGAUGAAAAUGUUUUCAUUCCAAAACUGAUGUUUGUAGCAAAACAUUCCCCCAUUAUUGUUCUUUUUUAAUAUUGCUAAAUUCAGAAAUGGAUAGGGGUAUACACAUAAUUUUGGACAUCAAAUAAAUAUUUCUGAAUAUAAUUUAUCCUAGCAAAAUGGAAAUACCUGAGAAAGGAAAGUAUAUCUUUUUCUAAAUAAAAUAUUGUCAACACAAAAGAACACAUAUGAAGUGCCCUUGGAUCUCUAAAUCUUUGUUAUCUUUAGAGCAUGAAUCAGCUUUAAGAUAAAUUAUUGGGAAAUGAGCAACCUGGAUUGUAAAACGUUUUAGAAGGGUAGGUUUAAGCCUAUGUCUUCCUUUUCCCAGAGAUUGCAUUAAACAGUAGUCAAGAGGCAAGUCUAGACUGCUUUUCCCUGUGGAAACUGGACACCUGUACCAUCCACUUAAAAGGCCCAUCCUCUUGGGACACUGGAAUCUUCACAAGCCA
Molecule: long non-coding RNA, 2776 nt
Organism: Poecile atricapillus (Black-capped chickadee)
Lineage: Eukaryota; Metazoa; Chordata; Aves; Passeriformes; Paridae
Exons: 3
Source: RefSeq, a predicted model, not a curated record